UUAAGUAAGAAAGGGCGUACGGCGGAUGCCUGGGCCAUAUCAGCCGACGAAGGACGCGAUAAGCUGCGAAAAGCUGCGGGGAGGUGCAAGUAACCGGAGAGCCGCAGAUAUCCGAAUGGGGAAACCCGGCAGUAGGAGUACUGUCACCUCUCGGACGAGAGGAGGGCACCCGGUGAACUGAAACAUCUAAGUAGCCGGAGGAAAAGGAAUCAACAGAGAUGCCCCCAGUAGCGGCGAGCGAAAAGGGCGGAGCCCAAACCGGGGCGGGAAACCGCGCCGGGGUAGAGGACUACCGAAAGACAGCAGGAUGAAGUCGAAGCAGGUGGGAACCUGCGCCGCAGACGGUGAGAGCCCGGUAGACGUAAAGAGAGCUGAGGGGUAGGAUCCGGAGUACCACGGGGCACGAGGAACCUUGUGGGAAGCAGGGGGGACCACCCUCCAAGGCGAAAUACUGAUAUGGACCGAUAGCGCAGAGUACCGUGAGGGAACGGUGAAAAGAACCCCGGGAGGGGAAUGAAAGAGAACCUGAAACCGUAUGUCUACAAGCAGUCGAAGCACGAUGCAGGUGCGACGGCGUGCCUAUUGAAGAAUGAACCGGCGAGUUAUUUUUUUCGGCGAGGUUAAGCGGCAGACGCGGAGCCGAAGCGAAAGCGAGUCUGAAGAGGGCGCGAAGUCGAAAGGAAUAGACCCGAAACCACAGUGAUCUAUCCAUGCCCAGGUUGAAGCACAGGUAAAAAUGUGUGGAGGACCGAACCAGUGAGCGUUGAAAAGCUUUUGGAUGAGGUGUGGAUAGGGGUGAAAUGCCAAUCGAACGUGGAGAUAGCUGGUUCUCCCCGAAAUAGCUUUAGGGCUAGCCUCAUGAAAAGAGUACAGGCGGUAGAGCACUGAACAGGGAAGGGGCCGAGCGGUUACCGAACCUAAUCAAACUACGAAUGGCUGUACUUAUGCAUGGGAGUCAGACUGCGAGUGAUAAGACCCGUAGUCAAGAGGGAAACAGCCCAGACCAACAGCUAAGGUCCCGAAUGCCGUACUAAGUGGCAAAGGAGGUGGCGUUUCGAAAACAACCAGGAUGUUGGCUCAGAAGCAGCCAUCAUUAAAAGAGUGCGUAAUAGCUCACUGGUCGAGAGACGCGGCGCCGAAGAUGACCGGGGCUGAAGUACGGAACCGAAGCUUUGGCAUGUAUGGAGACAUACAUGGGUAGGGGAGCGUUCCUGCGUGGGAGAAGCCUGACCGGAAGGACAGGUGGACAGGCAGGAAGCGAGAAUGCCGGUAUGAGUAGCGAAAAGAAAGGUGGGAAUCCUUUCCACCGAAAGCCUAAGGGUUCCUGGGCAACGAUCGUCGACCCAGGGUAAGUCGGGGCCUAAUCCGAGGCGCAGACGCAUAGGAGAUGGACAACAGGUUGAAAUUCCUGUACCGACACCGUCCGAUAGAGCGAGGGAGUGACACAAGAAGGAACGUUCGCAUGCGAAUGGAAGAGCAUGUCCAAGCCGGUAGGUGGCGUAUCAGGCAAAUCCGGUACGCCGAAAGCCGAGAGGUGAUGGGGAGGCUGUAGAGAUACAGAGGAAGGAACGGGGACUCAAUUGUCAAGAAAAGCUUCUAGCGAGGACGGUGGCGCCCGUACCGAAACCGACACAGGUAGGCAGGACGAGAAUUCUAAGGUGCGCGGGAAACCCCUCGUUAAGGAACUCGGCAAAAUGUAUCCGUAACUUCGGGAAAAGGAUAACCCAGAGUAGGUGAAGGGCAGAAACGGCCGGAGCCGAAAUGGGUGGCACAAGAGAGGCCCAAGCGACUGUUUAGCACAAACACAGGCGUCUGCGAAAGAGAAAUCUGAAGUAUAGAUGCUGACACCUGCCCGGUGCUGGAAGGUUAAGAGGACGUGUGAGCCGCAAGGCGAAGCAGAGAAUUGAAGCCCCAGUAAACGGCGGCCGUAACUAUAACGGUCCUAAGGUAGCGAAAUUCCUUGUCGGGUAAGUUCCGACCCGCACGAAAGGUGUAACGAUUUGGGCACUGUCUCAACGAGGGACCCGGUGAAAUUGAAGUACCUGUGAAGAUGCAGGUUACCCGCGACUGGACAGAAAGACCCCAUGGAGCUUUACUGCAACCUGAGAUGGGAUUUGGGUAUAAGACGUACAGGAUAGUUGGGAGGCGUGGAAGUGAGGACGGCAGUUUUCACGGAGCCGACGGUGGGAUACCAACCUUGUUGUACUGAAAUUCUAACGAGAGCCGUAACGAGGCUUCGGACAGUCUCAGGCGGGCAGUUUGACUGGGGCGGUCGCCUCCGAAAGAGCAACGGAGGCGCCCAAGGGUUCCCUCAGCGCGGACGGAAACCGCGCGCAGAGUGUAAAGGCAGAAGGGAGCUUGACUGCGAGACGGACAGGUCGAGCAGGGACGAAAGUCGGGCUUAGUGAUCCGGUGGUGCCGAGUGGAAGGGCCAUCGCUCAACGGAUAAAAGCUACCCUGGGGAUAACAGGCUAAUCUCUCCCAAGAGUCCAUAUCGACGGGGAGGUUUGGCACCUCGAUGUCGGCUCAUCACAUCCUGGGGCUGAAGUAGGUCCCAAGGGUUGGGCUGUUCGCCCAUUAAAGUGGUACGCGAGCUGGGUUCAGAACGUCGUGAGACAGUUCGGUCCCUAUCCAUCGCGGGCGGAAGAAACUUGAAAGGGGCUGCUCCCAGUACGAGAGGACCGGAGUGGACGAACCGCUGGUGUAUCGGUUAUGCCGCCAGGCGUACAGCCGAGUAGCUACGUUCGGGACGGAUAAACGCUGAAAGCAUCUAAGCGUGAACCCGGCCUAAAGAUGAGGUUUCUCCUUGCAAGACAAGUAAGGCCCCAUGAAGACGACAUGGUAGAUAGGCCGGGAGUGGAAGUGCAGCGAUGCAUGGAGCGGACCGGUACUAAUAGGCCGAGGACUUAACUUA
Molecule: ribosomal RNA, 2914 nt
Filed under: human oral metagenome
Description: bacterial LSU rRNA
Rfam family: Bacterial large subunit ribosomal RNA
Source: RNAcentral